UACGGGGGGGGCAAGCGUUGUUCGGAAUUACUGGGCGUAAAGGGCUCGUAGGCGGCCAACUAAGUCAGACGUGAAAUCCCUCGGCUUAACCGGGGAACUGCGUCUGGUACUGGAUGGCUUGAGUUUGGGAGAGGGAUGCGGAAUUCCAGGUGUAGCGGUGAAAUGCGUAGAUAUCUGGAGGAACACCGGUGGCGAAGGCGGCAUCCUGGACCAGCACUGACGCUGAGGAGCGAAAGCCAGGGGAGCAAACGGG
This 253-nucleotide ribosomal RNA is filed under the name uncultured bacterium. RNAcentral describes it as "partial 16S ribosomal RNA". It matches the Rfam family "Bacterial small subunit ribosomal RNA", at positions 524 to 776 of the family's 1533-position model. The record is from RNAcentral.